CAAAGCUGAUCGUAGCCCUCGUCGCGAUUGCUCCCUUGGCCGAGACGAAGGAGUAUACUGAGCACACCAAGUGGAAGUUUGUCACUCUCGAUGCCACCGAGGGAAGGAAGCUUGGCA
RNAcentral lists this ribosomal RNA (117 nucleotides) under Odontella aurita. Its description in RNAcentral is "partial Eukaryotic small subunit ribosomal RNA". The record is from RNAcentral. Lineage: Eukaryota; Bacillariophyta; Thalassiosirophyceae; Eupodiscales; Odontellaceae.